Molecule: ribosomal RNA, 421 nt
Filed under: uncultured bacterium
Lineage: Bacteria
Description: bacterial SSU rRNA
Rfam family: Bacterial small subunit ribosomal RNA
Source: RNAcentral
AAUAUUGGACAAUGGGGGGAACCCUGAUCCAGCAAUGCCGCGUGUGUGAAGAAGGCCUGAGGGUUGUAAAGCACUUUCGUUUUUGAAGAAGUGAACUGGGUUAAUACCCUGGUUUGUUGACGUUAGAGAAAGAAGAAGCACCGGCUAACUCUGUGCCAGCAGCCGCGGUAAUACAGAGGGUGCGAGCGUUGUCCGGAAUCACUGGGCGUAAAGGGCGCGUAGGUGGCCCGACAAGUCAGUGGUGAAAGUUCGACGCUUAACGUCGAAUCGGCCACUGAUACUGUUGGGCUGGAGCACUGUAGAGGCUCAUGGAAUUCCGGGUGUAGCGGUGGAAUGCGUAGAGAUCCGGAAGAACACCGGUGGCGAAGGCGGUGAGCUGGGCAGUUGCUGACACUGAGGCGCGACAGCGUGGGGAGCAAAC